AUUGAACGCUGGCGGCAGGCCUAACACAUGCAAGUCGAACGCGUGGCGGACGGGUGAGUAAUGCCUGGGAAACCUCCCGAUUGAGGGGGGGAACUACUGGAAACGGUAGCCAAUUCCCCAUACUACCGGAUUUGCCCACAUGGGAUUAGCUUGUAGGUGAGGUAACGGUUUACCUAGGCGACGAUCCCUAGCUGGUUUGAGAGGAUGACCAGCCACACUGGAACUGAGACACGGUCCAGACUCCUACGGGAGGCAGCAGUGGGGAAUAUUGCACAAUGGGCGCAAGCCUGAUGCAGCCAUGCCGCGUGUAUGAAGAAGGCCUUCGGGUUGUAAAGUACUUUCAGCGGGGAGGCGUUACCCGCAGAGGAAGCACCGGCUAACUCCGUGCCAGCAGCCGCGGUAAUAC
This 406-nucleotide ribosomal RNA is filed under the name uncultured bacterium. RNAcentral describes it as "partial 16S ribosomal RNA". It matches the Rfam family "Bacterial small subunit ribosomal RNA", at positions 30 to 526 of the family's 1533-position model. The record is from RNAcentral.